This 247-nucleotide long non-coding RNA is filed under the name Volvox carteri. RNAcentral describes it as "long non-coding RNA (VCAR_LNC002359)". The record is from RNAcentral. Lineage: Eukaryota; Viridiplantae; Chlorophyta; Chlorophyceae; Chlamydomonadales; Volvocaceae.
UCCUGGUUUGUGUUUCAUGCAGCGUUGGUCAGGAUCCUGUCAGGAUGGGCAAGAGAAGGCCCAUAGAUCUAUGCGGCCCCGGCCAAUGGCUAUCUUAACAAUGCAAUACUAAUCGUAGCACGUGCUGUGGUGGCAAAAGGCUUUGGAGUUUGGGAUGUGACAGUCAAUGGUCACGCGACGCACUGCGCCCUGCAGCAUAUGCGCGUGCAUCGCCGCCACCUCAAGCGUACCGUACCCUGUCGUGGAG